This 68-nucleotide transfer RNA is filed under the name Marmota monax (woodchuck). RNAcentral describes it as "tRNA.Ala". The record is from RNAcentral. Lineage: Eukaryota; Metazoa; Chordata; Mammalia; Rodentia; Sciuridae.
CCAUAGAAGUACUUUGUUUCUUAUCUGUAAGUCUUUUUUAGAAAAACUUUACUCCAACUGAAUUCCUU